Dreissena polymorpha is the source of this 453-nucleotide long non-coding RNA. RefSeq lists it as uncharacterized. The transcript has 3 exons. Lineage: Eukaryota; Metazoa; Mollusca; Bivalvia; Myida; Dreissenidae. The record is from RefSeq and is a predicted model, not a curated record.
ACGCUUGAAGAUAGUGGACGCGGAAGUACGCUGGCUUCAAGAUUCAUCGGGAACACACAUACGCCAAGACACUGGUGGAUCACACUUGUAUCAAGUUGAAUUACACAAGAAGAAAACAGAAGGGCCGUUCAUUGACCAGUGGCAAAUUACUGGCCCAUAUGCUGUGCAAACCAUAACACUAUUUUAGUAUUGAAAGCUUGAGGACUGCCAAAAGAAUCACUGUAUAAUCUUGACAUUCAUACUGGCUUUAUACUGACUGCCUAAAUAGUGUAAUUCAUUUCAUUUUCAAAUUUCUUUUGUUUUCGAGAAUAUAAUCAUCUACGUGAAAAAUUGCAGACGAGCGUUCAGAAACCGAUUGAAACAGUCGCUAUUUGGUCCAGAUUUAGAAAAAGAACCGAACUACCGGCCAAGAGUAUGUCUAAACGAACAUCCCGAGACCGCUUUAAAAAGGUU